Molecule: ribosomal RNA, 468 nt
Filed under: uncultured bacterium
Lineage: Bacteria
Description: bacterial SSU rRNA
Rfam family: Bacterial small subunit ribosomal RNA
Source: RNAcentral
GGGCCCGCACAAGCGGUGGAGCAUGUGGUUUAAUUCGACGCAACGCGCAGAACCUUACCAGCCCUUGACAUCCCGGUCGCGGACUCCAGAGACGGAGUUCUUCAGUUCGGCUGGACCGGAGACAGGUGCUGCAUGGCUGUCGUCAGCUCGUGUCGUGAGAUGUUGGGUUAAGUCCCGCAACGAGCGCAACCCCCGUCCUUAGUUGCUACCAUUUAGUUGAGCACUCUAAGGAGACUGCCGGUGAUAAGCCGCGAGGAAGGUGGGGAUGACGUCAAGUCCUCAUGGCCCUUACGGGCUGGGCUACACACGUGCUACAAUGGCGGUGACAAUGGGAUGCUAAGGGGCGACCCUUCGCAAAUCUCAAAAAGCCGUCUCAGUUCGGAUUGGGCUCUGCAACUCGAGCCCAUGAAGUUGGAAUCGCUAGUAAUCGUGGAUCAGCACGCCACGGUGAAUACGUUCCCGGGCCUU